GACGAACCGUGCGAACGUUAUUCGGAAUCACUGGGCUUAAAGCGCGUGUAGGCGGAUGGGCACGUCGGUCUUUGAAAGCCCCCGGCUCAACCGGGGAAGCGGAGCCGAAACGACCGAUCUGGAGGGGCGUAGGGGGACCUGGAACUUCCGGUGGAGCGGUGAAAUGCGUUGAGAUCGGAAGGAACGCCCGUGGCGAAAGCGAGGUCCUGGACGUCUGCUGACGCUGAGACGCGAAAGCUAGGGGA
This 245-nucleotide ribosomal RNA is filed under the name uncultured bacterium. Its description in RNAcentral is "partial 16S ribosomal RNA". It matches the Rfam family "Bacterial small subunit ribosomal RNA", at positions 524 to 767 of the family's 1533-position model. The record is from RNAcentral.